AACAAACAAGAUGGCAGCACUGAGUCAUCUGCUAGCACAAGUUUAACAGCUGAUAUUUCAUAUAACACACAUAGCACAAGAUGGUAUAAUCUCCACCCCUUGUCCUCUUGGUAUCUUGUCUCCAACGAUGGUGUUGAUGGGGUAGCCAAAACCUGAGUUGUUUUUCACGACUGGAAGGAGUCCGUCCUGUGUUCUAUCAUUGUUUUUACGAGCUCCUGAUACUGACCUCGGAGGCCGUGUUUGCCGCUAUCUCUCCCAAAGAAUGUCAUGUUAUAUCUGCAACUACCCACACUCUUCUCCCUUAUACUGUGCCUGCUAUUCAUAUUUAUUAGUAAGUUAUAAUUCUAUAACACAUCAUACAAACAUCUAAUAUUCAUUACUUUAUUUCUGUUAUUAGUAUUCCCUUAACAGCCCUUUAUCAAUGUAAGCAUAAUCAAUGUAAGCACAAGAAAACAUAUUUCUAUUCUAGUUAAUAAUCAUACAGGUAAAUAUAUAGAGUAUAAAUCACAGAAUAUCGCAACAUGUGUCAGAUGUUGGUUAGUUAUUCCUCUGCCUCCUUUAAUGAUAAUGGUUCUUUUAUUAACUGUAGUUUAUUUACUGCGCUGGAGGCGAGGCUUAGUGAGUUAGAGGAACGGCACCGCACCACGGAGAUAUCUUUAGCCGCUAUAGUUAGCCAGCCCCCAGUAGCCGGUGCGGCCCAACGAAGGUAGCUUCUGCUAGCCGUCCUCCGGUAGUUCCCCCGGUAGAUCCUCCGGUAGAUCCUGAGCAGCCGGGAAGACAGGGAGGCUGGGUGACUGAAUGAAAGAAGAAUAAAACGCUGAAGCCCACAGUUCACCACCAACCCAUUCAUGUUUCUGCUACAUUGUCCCCACUCAGCGACACACCCGCUGAGGAACCAACUCUGGUUAUUGGCAGCUCCAUAGUCAGAAACGUGAAGUUAGUGAAGCCAUAGUUAAAUGUAUCCCUGGGGCCAGAGCGGGCGACAUUGAAUCCUAUUUAAAAUAGACUGUGUCUGUCCCCCGACCACCUAAAUUAUUUAAAGAAAUACAAACAAGAGGAGUUCAACAUAAAAACCUAAUAAAAAUUAAAUCUCCUCAGUAGCACAAAAUAAAUGAAUGAAAUGUGGACUGUUAAAUAUCAGGUCUCUGUCUUCAAAAGCUGUUUUAGUGAAUGAA
Long non-coding RNA from Dicentrarchus labrax (European seabass), 1175 nucleotides. RefSeq lists it as uncharacterized. Lineage: Eukaryota; Metazoa; Chordata; Actinopteri; Moronidae. The transcript has 2 exons. The record is from RefSeq and is a predicted model, not a curated record.